This 73-nucleotide transfer RNA is filed under the name Clangula hyemalis (long-tailed duck). RNAcentral describes it as "tRNA-Asn". The record is from RNAcentral. Lineage: Eukaryota; Metazoa; Chordata; Aves; Anseriformes; Anatidae.
UAGGCAGAAGCCGGUAGGUUUAGGCAUUUAGCUGUUAACUAAAAUUUUACGGGAUCGAAGCCCGUCUGUCUAG